UCAUCGAGUAGCUGAGCGAGUAGUUUGCGCCCUCAGUAGACGCAGCCAACUCAGCAGUCACAACUGUUUGUUGCAGGCGUUGAACGGCUGCAGAUUCAGCACCAACAGUUGCAGAUUCAGCAGCAACAAGUGCUGUUGCAACAACAACAGCUGGAGCUGGAGUUGCAGCGACAGCAGUUGCUCGUGCAGCAACAACAAAUGUUGCAACAGCAGCCGGUUCAAUUGUCCUCACAGUUUCCCCCGCCGUACUCGGCUCCCGUUGACAACAAGAAUUAGCUUAGGCGGGUGUUGCGGCCAGGCCCGAUAGCUGUGACUGUUGGACCGUUGCCCCCCCAAGCACCCUACCAACCCCUCUCUCGUUCUGAUGGGCGAGGUUGGCCAGCUUAAGAAUCUUUUCCAUUUUAACUUAUUCUCUCUUUGAUUUGUGAUCUUCAUCAUGGACAAUGACACUGUGACUUCAAUCAAAUUGUAUCUUCCUUCUUCUCAGUUUGUUCUUCCGAUUGCCAUCAUUGAACAUACUCUAAUUUAAUUUACUAUCACUGGUAAACGAGAAUACAAAUAUUUUCCAAUAUUAAUUUUAGAAUAAUAAAAUUAAUAUUGAAAAUAUUUAUAUUCAUUUCCAGUGAUAGUAAAUUGUACUUUUUCCCAAUGCUUCAAGAUUCUUCAUACUGUAGUUUGUAAAUCAUAUUAGAUAUUGUGUUAGGUUAAGGUAAGUUUAGUCA
This is a long non-coding RNA of Homalodisca vitripennis (glassy-winged sharpshooter), 722 nucleotides long. RefSeq lists it as uncharacterized. The transcript has 3 exons. Lineage: Eukaryota; Metazoa; Arthropoda; Insecta; Hemiptera; Cicadellidae. The record is from RefSeq and is a predicted model, not a curated record.